Molecule: long non-coding RNA, 1582 nt
Organism: Polypterus senegalus (gray bichir)
Lineage: Eukaryota; Metazoa; Chordata; Cladistia; Polypteriformes; Polypteridae
Exons: 3
Source: RefSeq, a predicted model, not a curated record
UUUUUCAGUGUAUACAGUAUAACACUAUUUCUCAUUCAGACAUACUGUAAGACAUUGCUGGUGAAAGGUAAAUUCAGGAUCUGCAAAAAUAAACUCCUUAAGCAUCAGGAUGAUGAUUUCAUAAUUCAAGGUAAUUUUUAUUUUUUUUUCUUCUGAUUUGAGUUCUCCGCCUUAGUGAUCUUCGCAUUAUUCUAAUUGUUAUUUUUGUUUUUAGUUCACAAUAAGUUUGAGCUGCCUUCAGGGACAUUUCUGCACAUCUAAUAACGACACUGAAGCCGAGAUUGAGGAUGACAUUUUAUAAGAAUUACUUCAAGCAAAACCUAUGAUGGAAACAGUUAGAUACCACAAUAAUGGUUUGUUUUUCUUCCAUUUAAUUCUUUCAUUAUUGUUUUACAGAGUCAGGCAUUGGAAACUUGCACCAACAUUUGUCCAUAUCUAGCUGGACCAAACACCAGAGCAUCCAACCAAGAAACCUGGAAAGGCAGCCGAAUCAGCAGCUGAAGCCAAGGAGCAGGUGGUGAUGCCAUACUUGCAGAGUACAGGUCCAAAUUAUUUUGCCAAGUGAAACAAGGCGUGUUCUUGUCAACAUACUGGUUGGAGACAUAGUAGAGAUACAUGGUUGCCACAUUGUUGGUUGUUCACGUCUGUGUCAGUGACUGGGCUGCACAUUGAUGUUAAACCUGCUACAAGCGAUGAUACCAGGCCUCCUUUGACCAUCUGUAUGUUUGCUCCCAUUACUCUCAACUGUAGUAUUUGAAACUUGUUGCCGGGGAACAGUUACAUAAAGUUGUUGUAUCUGCUGUAUAGUUUUUAAGCUAUACAUUUCUUAGCCCUUCUUUUAUCUACAAAACGUAAACAGUGUACAACUGUGACCACAAAAUGCUUCUCUACCUAAAAUAUCAAUGAACAAUUAUGCUGCUGUAGAGUCUUUAACUAUGGGGCCUCAAAUAUAUUCUACCAAUUCAUUAUAUGGAGGUGUCUUUAAUCUCAGCAAUUAAAUGAAAAGUGAAGAUACAUGACUUUUGCAAAGCAUAUUAAGCUACCACAGAGGCCAUUCAUAUCACUCUUUAUUAACUGUGGCAAUCUCCUCUAGUAGUCGUUACCAAGUCUUUCAUACCCUCUUUAUUUGGAUUAGUGUCCACAUUGUUUCACUGCUGUUUGGCUAAAGGUUAUCUGGCCAGAGAUUACAAAGAAAGUGCAGAGUUGAUAUGUUGCCACAAUGAUGAACCCAGUUGACUUGGUGUUACUCUGUGGGGAUUUCAAAAGUCUUCCUAAAGCAUGGCGCAAUUCCUAAGAUGGAGCCGGGUUUCCAGUUGAUCUUGUAAAUCUGAAAUUUAAAAUUACUUUUCUGUUUUUCAGUCUACUUACAGUAUAUAAUUAAGAACUGAAAUCUUACUUUUUUUAUCCCCAGGUGUAUAUUCACUGCAUAAUAGUUUUGUGGUUCUUAGUAUAUUAGUUAAUUAUAUAUUAAUUCUUAGUAUAUUUUACUGCUGUUGCAUAUGGCAGGACACAGAAACCCAAUAACUCAACAAAAUAAAUAAAAAUAAAGUACCAUGUAUAAUGUGAAAUAGAAUUUAUCAGG